Molecule: non-coding RNA, 87 nt
Organism: Photobacterium sp.
Lineage: Bacteria; Pseudomonadati; Pseudomonadota; Gammaproteobacteria; Vibrionales; Vibrionaceae
Source: Rfam
GAGAGCCGUAUGCGCUGAAAGGUGCACGUACGGUUCGGAGAGGAGAGGCGGAGAAAUAGUUCGACUACGCUCUGUCUCUUACUCUAC